Molecule: non-coding RNA, 1013 nt
Organism: Sturnus vulgaris (Common starling)
Lineage: Eukaryota; Metazoa; Chordata; Aves; Passeriformes; Sturnidae
Source: RefSeq, a predicted model, not a curated record
GUGGCCUGCCGGGAGAGCAGAGGAGUGGGUGGGGAUCUCCCUGGGCUCCCAUGGCUUAACAGCCACGUUUAGCUGGAUUUAGGAGGUAUAAGCAUUUAUGGUAAAUUCUACUGCUGUAUCACAGCCUGCUUUCUGCUUUUCUAGCUUUGUCUCCAUGGGGGUAUUCCAUACAUUAUCCAAUUUCACAGCCUGAACUUUCCCCCCUACUUAGAAGAUUAUGUGGGGCAGAGAUGUGAGAAGAAAGGGAGUCUUGACACUGCUCCACCUUUUUAUCUCUCUAACUCCAUGUAUAUCUGUCUGCUCUCACGGGGGCCAGGCCUUCUGCCUUCCAAAACCCUGCUUGGAAAUCGCUGAUUCAAGCAGGUAGCAAUUUUAGGGCUCCUUAGGAAAUAAAUGCCUCCUGUGUGCUCCCCUGGCACUGGGAUUUCCUCUCUGAUUUAUCCUGCUCAGGUCUGCUAAUGUCCCUUGACUAAACGGGGCAUGGUGUGAUGGUGUGAAGGUCAUUUUCUAUAUGCAAUAUACAUUUCUGCACUCAUGGUGGGAGGGUAGGACAUCUGAAGCAGCAGAUCCUGCUGGGAAAAGGAAGAAGAAAAGGAUAGUCUGGCUCUUCUUUUCACUGCGUCUUGUGGUGGGAUGAAGGUUUUGACAGCCUAAUUCAGCAUUUAGAGAAAGAACCAAGCAGAAAGAUUCCCCCUCACCCACUCCUUGCAGCCCAGCUGUGACAAACUGACAGAUAAUUAACAAAUCAAGACCUCCUAUUAGCCUUGUCCCUGGUGCAUUAAAGCAGCUCCUAUGUUGCAUGUGUCCUUUAGCAAGUGCCUGUGCUUUCUGGCUGCACAGGGAGGUAGGUACAGCCCUUCAGAGAGGCAAAGGCGCCUCUAAGGUGUCAGUGCACAAAUAUUUCCAGGAAUAGAAGUUGUCUCUAAAAGGAAGCAGUGGACAGUAGGUGGGAGAGCUGUACCAUGACUGCAUGGAAGCCCCUCUAAUGGUGCAGUGCUGUCUGUGGAGUAGCU